GACGAACGCUGGCGGCGUGCUUAACACAUGCAAGUCGAACGAAGUGGCGAACGGGUGAGUAACGCGUAAUCAACCUGCCCUUCCGAGGGGGAAAACAGUUGGACACGACUGCUAAUACCGAAUACUGAAGGAGGGGAUUGCGUAUGAUUAGCUAGUGGGAGGGGUAACGGCCCACCAAGCGGAUGAUCAGUAGCCGGUCUGAUGGGAUGGACGGCCACAAUGGGACUGAGACACGGCCCAGACUCCUACGGGGGGCAGCAGUGGGGAAACUUCCGCAAUGGACGAAAGUCUUACGGAGCAACGCCGCGUGAGUGAUGACGGCCUUCGGGUUGGAAAGCUCUGUUAAUCGGGACGCGGUACCGGAAUAGAAAGCCACGGCUAACUACGUGCCAGCAGCCGCGGUAAUUC
RNAcentral lists this ribosomal RNA (408 nucleotides) under uncultured bacterium. RNAcentral describes it as "partial 16S ribosomal RNA". It matches the Rfam family "Bacterial small subunit ribosomal RNA", at positions 28 to 526 of the family's 1533-position model. The record is from RNAcentral.